ACUCAAAUGAAUAGACGGGGUCCCGCACAAGCAGUGGAUCAUGUGGUUUAAUUCGAUGGUACACGAAGAACCUUACCGAGGCUUGACAUCCCUGGAAUCCGCCAGAAACGGUGGAGUGCCUUCGGGAACCAGGUGACAGGUGUUGCAUGGCCGUCGUCAGCUCGUGUCGUGAGAUGUUGGGUUAAGUCCCGCAACGAGCGCAACCCUUGUCGUGUGUUGUAUUUUUCACACGAGACCGCCCGGGCCAACCGGGAGGAAGGUGGGGAUGAUGUCAGGUCAGCAUGGCCCUUACGCCUCGGGCCACACACGUGAUACAAUGGCCGAUACAACGCGUCGCUAAGCUGUAAAGUGGAGCUAAUCGCAUCAAAAUCGGUCCCAGUUCGGAUUGAGGGCUGCAACUCGCCCUCAUGAAGCCGGAAUUGCUAGUAAACGUGGGUCAGCAUACCACGUUGAAUACGUUCCCGGGACUUGUACACACCGCCCGU
RNAcentral lists this ribosomal RNA (485 nucleotides) under uncultured bacterium. Its description in RNAcentral is "partial 16S ribosomal RNA". It matches the Rfam family "Bacterial small subunit ribosomal RNA", at positions 899 to 1397 of the family's 1533-position model. The record is from RNAcentral.